Molecule: ribosomal RNA, 497 nt
Filed under: uncultured bacterium
Lineage: Bacteria
Description: partial 16S ribosomal RNA
Rfam family: Bacterial small subunit ribosomal RNA
Source: RNAcentral
GAUGAACGCUGGCGGCGUGCCUAAUACAUGCAAGUCGAGCGAACAGACGAGGAGCUUGCUCCUCUGACGUUAGCGGCGGACGGGUGAGUAACACGUGGAUAACCUACCUAUAAGACUGGGAUAACUUCGGGAAACCGGAGCUAAUACCGGAUAAUAUAUUGAACCGCAUGGUUCAAUAGUGAAAGACGGUUUUGCUGUCACUUAUAGAUGGAUCCGCGCCGCAUUAGCUAGUUGGUAAGGUAACGGCUUACCAAGGCAACGAUGCGUAGCCGACCUGAGAGGGUGAUCGGCCACACUGGAACUGAGACACGGUCCAGACUCCUACGGGAGGCAGCAGUAGGGAAUCUUCCGCAAUGGGCGAAAGCCUGACGGAGCAACGCCGCGUGAGUGAUGAAGGUCUUCGGAUCGUAAAAUUCUGUUAUUAGGGAAGAAAAAAUGUGUAAGUAACUAUGCACGUCUUGACGGUACCUAAUCAGAAAGCCACGGCUAACUACGUG